GACGAACGCUGGCGGCGUGCUUAACACAUGCAAGUCGAACGGAAAGGCCCUGCUUUUGUGGGGUGCUCGAGUGGCGAACGGGUGAGUAACACGUGAGUAACCUGCCCUUGACUUUGGGAUAACUUCAGGAAACUGGGGCUAAUACCGGAUAGGAGCUCCUGCUGCAUGGUGGGGGUUGGAAAGUUUCGGCGGUUGGGGAUGGACUCGCGGCUUAUCAGCUUGUUGGUGGGGUAGUGGCUUGCCAAGGCUUUGACGGGUAGCCGGCCUGAGAGGGUGACCGGCCACAUUGGGACUGAGAUACGGCCCAGACUCCUACGGGAGGCAGCAGUGGGGAAUAUUGCACAAUGGGCGGAAGCCUGAUGCAGCAACGCCGCGUGCGGGAUGACGGCCUUUGGGUUGUAAACCGCUUUCGCCUGUGACGAAGCGUGAGUGACGGUAAUGGGUAAAGAAGCACCGGCUAACUACGUG
Molecule: ribosomal RNA, 468 nt
Filed under: uncultured bacterium
Lineage: Bacteria
Description: partial 16S ribosomal RNA
Rfam family: Bacterial small subunit ribosomal RNA
Source: RNAcentral